UACGGGGGGAGCAAGCGUUGUUCGGAUUUACUGGGCGUAAAGGCGCGUAGGCGGUCAGCACAAGUCAGUUGUGAAAUCUCCGGGCUUAACUCGGAAAGGUCAACUGAUACUGUGCGACUAGAGUGCAGAAGGGGCAACUGGAAUUCUCGGUGUAGCGGUGAAAUGCGUAGAUAUCGAGAGGAACACCUGCGGCGAAGGCGGGUUGCUGGGCUGACACUGACGCUGAUGCGCGAAAGCCAGGAGAGCGAACGGG
RNAcentral lists this ribosomal RNA (253 nucleotides) under uncultured bacterium. RNAcentral describes it as "partial 16S ribosomal RNA". It matches the Rfam family "Bacterial small subunit ribosomal RNA", at positions 524 to 776 of the family's 1533-position model. The record is from RNAcentral.